UAGGGUUUGAUCAUGGCUCAGAAUGAACGCUAGCGGAAAGCUUAACACAUGCAAGUCGAAUGUUUUAAAAACAUGGCGAACGGGUGAGUAACGCGUAAGAACCUACCAAAAAAUUCAUGGGAAUCGUGAAUAUUCAAAGAUUUGAUUAUCGUUUUUUGAUGGGCUUGCGUAAGAUUAGAUAGUUGGUGUGGUAAAAGCAUACCAAGUCGAUGAUCUUUUACUGGUCUUAGCGGAUGGCCAGUCACACUGGGACUGAGAUACGGCCCAGACUCUAUUUGGAGGCAGCAGUGAGGAAUCUUGGACACUGAGCGCGAGCUUGAUCCAGCUAUUUCGCGUGGGUGAUGAAGGUUAUAUUGAUCGUAAAGCCCUUUCAUGAAGAUGUCAAGAUAAUGUCUUAACUUCAAGAAGAAGCUCCGGCAAAUUCUGUGCCAGCCGCCGCGGUAAUACA
This 448-nucleotide ribosomal RNA is filed under the name uncultured Alphaproteobacteria bacterium. RNAcentral's name for it is "bacterial SSU rRNA". It matches the Rfam family "Bacterial small subunit ribosomal RNA", at positions 1 to 527 of the family's 1533-position model. Lineage: Bacteria; Pseudomonadati; Pseudomonadota; Alphaproteobacteria. The record is from RNAcentral.